ACAAGGAUGGGCCUGCGUUCCAUUAGUUAGAUGGUGGGGUAACGGCCUACCAUGGCGACGAUGGAUAGCUGAUCUGAGAGGAUGAUCAGCACAAUGGAACUGAGACACGGUCCAGACUCCUACGGGAGGCAGCAGUGGGGAAUAUUGCACAAUGGAGGAAACUCUGAUGCAGCAACGCCGCGUGGAGGAUGACGCAUUUCGGUGUGUAAACUCCUUUUAUAUGGGAAGAUAAUGACGGUACCAUAUGAAUAAGCACCGGCUAACUCCGUGCCAGCAGCCGCGGUAAUACGGAGGGUGCAAGCGUUACUCGGAAUCACUGGGCGUAAAGCGCAUGCAGGCGGUUAAAUAAGUUGGAAGUGAAAUCCUAUGGCUCAACCAUAGAACUGCUUCCAAAACUGUUUAACUAGAGUCUGGGAGGGGAAGAUGGAAUUAGUUGUGUAGGGGUAAAAUCCGUAGAGAUAACUAGGAAUACCAAAAGCGAAGGCGAUCUUCUGGAACAGUACUGACGCUGAGAUGCGAAAGCGUGGGGAGCAAACAGGAUUAGAUACCCUGGUAGUCCACGCAGCAAAACGAUGAAAUGUUAGUUCGUUGGGUAGCUAGUCUAUUUCAGUGAUUGCAGUUAACACAUUAAACAUUCCGCCUGGGGAGUACGGUCGCAAGAUUAAAACUCAAAGGGAAUAGACGGGGACCCGCACAAGUGGUGGAGCAUGUGGUUUAAUUCGAAGAUACGCGAAGAACCUUACCUAGCCUUGACAUAUUAGAGAACACACCAGAGAUGGAGUGGUGCCUUCGGGAGCUCUAUUACAGGUGCUGCACGGCUGUCGUCAGCUCGUGUCGUGAGAUGUUGGGUUAAGUCCCGCAACGAGCGCAACCCUCGUCACUAGUUACUAACGGUUCGGCCGAGGACUCUAGUGAGACUGCCUUCGUAAGGAGGAGGAAGGUGAGGACGACGUCAAGUCAUCAUGGCCCUUACGGCUAGGGCAACACACGUGCUACAAUGGUUAGGACAAUGAGAAGCAAUAUCGCGAGGUGGAGCAAAUCUAUAAACCUAAUCUCAGUUCGGAUUGUAGUCUGCAACUCGACUACAUGAAGCUGGAAUCACUAGUAAUCGUAGAUCAGCUAUGNUACAGUGAAUACGUUCCCGGAUCUUGUACUCACCGCCCGUCACA
Molecule: ribosomal RNA, 1169 nt
Filed under: uncultured bacterium
Lineage: Bacteria
Description: bacterial SSU rRNA
Rfam family: Bacterial small subunit ribosomal RNA
Source: RNAcentral